GGGCCGGGGCUGGCGGCCCACGGGCCCACUAGGGGCCUGAGGAAACUCCACCCUCCCCGCGGCAGCCGGACCCCGCGAGGGGUGCGGGUGAGACCCGCGGCAACGGCACAGAAACGAUACGGCCCCCAGCCGUUGAGUAUGAGGCGGCGAGGCCCCCACGGUAACGCGGGGGCAGUAACCCGCUGAGGAGGCUGGGGGAUGCGUUGAAACGGCCGUCCCCGGCGGAGCAAGGCUCCCCGCGGAUGAGGGCCGCGCGACAAGCGGGGGGAGUGGCCGCUGAGUCGAAUGCCGCCGUAGUACAGAAGGUGGGUUAUAGCCCCGGCCC
Molecule: RNase P RNA, 325 nt
Filed under: Desulfurococcales archaeon
Lineage: Archaea; Thermoproteati; Thermoproteota; Thermoprotei; Desulfurococcales
Description: RNase P RNA component
Rfam family: Archaeal RNase P
About the family: Ribonuclease P (RNase P) is a ubiquitous endoribonuclease, found in archaea, bacteria and eukarya as well as chloroplasts and mitochondria. Its best characterised activity is the generation of mature 5'-ends of tRNAs by cleaving the 5'-leader elements of precursor-tRNAs. Cellular RNase Ps are ribonucleoproteins.
Source: RNAcentral